CACCCCAACGAUGAAAUUUAUGAAACGUUAAAAGUAGUGGACCGAUUCGUUGAUGAAUGGUUCAUUCGGAGGGGUU
Molecule: small nucleolar RNA, 76 nt
Organism: Cynara cardunculus var. scolymus (artichoke)
Lineage: Eukaryota; Viridiplantae; Streptophyta; Magnoliopsida; Asterales; Asteraceae
Product: small nucleolar RNA R21
Exons: 1
Source: RefSeq, a predicted model, not a curated record